UACGUAGGUGGCAAGCGUUGUCCGGAAUUAUUGGGCGUAAAGCGCGCGCAGGCGGUCUUUUAAGUCUGAUGUGAAAGCCCACGGCUCAACCGUGGAGGGUCAUUGGAAACUGGGAGACUUGAGUGCAGAAGAGAAGAGCGGAAUUCCACGUGUAGCGGUGAAAUGCGUAGAGAUGUGGAGGAACACCAGUGGCGAAGGCGACUUUCUGGGCUGUAACUGACGCUGAGGCGCGAAAGCGUGGGGAGCAAACAGG
RNAcentral lists this ribosomal RNA (253 nucleotides) under uncultured bacterium. RNAcentral's name for it is "partial 16S ribosomal RNA". It matches the Rfam family "Bacterial small subunit ribosomal RNA", at positions 524 to 776 of the family's 1533-position model. The record is from RNAcentral.